This 459-nucleotide ribosomal RNA is filed under the name uncultured bacterium. Its description in RNAcentral is "partial 16S ribosomal RNA". It matches the Rfam family "Bacterial small subunit ribosomal RNA", at positions 338 to 795 of the family's 1533-position model. The record is from RNAcentral.
CCUACGGGAGGCAGCAGUGAGGAAUAUUGGUCAAUGGGCGCGAGCCUGAACCAGCCAAGUCGCGUGAAGGAAGACGGUCCUAUGCAUUGUAAACCUCUUUUGUCGAGGGGCAAAAGCCGCCACGAGUGCCUGACCGAGAGUACCCGAAGAAAAAGCAUCGGCUAACUCCGUGCCAGCAGCCGCGGUAAUACGGAGGAUGCGAGCGUUAUCCGGAUUUAUUGGGUUUACAGGGUGCGGAGGCGGAAUAUUAAGUCAGCGGUAAAAGUCCGAGGCUCAACCCCGGCGAGCCGUUGAAACUGGUUGUAGGGAGAUGUCGAGAGGGAUGCGGAAGGCGCAGGGUAGCGGUGAAAUGCUUAGAUAUUGCGCAGAACGCCGAUGGCGAAGGCAGCAGACCGGCGGCGAUCUGACGCUGAGGCACGAAAGCGUGGGUAUCGAACAGGAGUAGAUACCCGAGUAGGC